AAAUGUUGAAAAAAAAAAUUAAAAAAAAAAAAUAAAAAAAAAUAAAAAAAUAAAGUGUGUGUCUUAGUCAUCUAUUGCCAUGAAGCAAAUUACCUAAUGUUUAGUUGCUUAAAGUUACAAGUGUAUAUCAUCUUGUAUCAUUUCUGAGUGUACAAUUUGGUGAUUUUUAACAUAUUCACAAAAUUAUGCAACUAUCACUACUAUCAUUACUGUGUAAUUCCAGAACAUUUUCAUCAUUCCAAAAAGAAUUGGACAGGAACCCAGGAAUGACUUAGGUGGGUGGUUCUGGCUCUGCUCUUUCAUUAAGUCCCAAUCAAGAAUCAGUCAUUUGAAGGCUUGACUGGACCAGCAGGAUCUGCUCCUAAGAAGGUUCAUUCACAUAGCUGGUAAGUUCCUUCUGGUUUCUAGCAGGAGGCCUCCAUUCUUGAAGGCCCUAGUUCCUUACCAUGUGGACCUCUCCAUAGGGCUACUUGAGUAUCACCAAACAUGGCAGCCUGCUUCCUUCAGAUAUAGUGAUCCAAGAGAGAGAGAGCAAGAGGGAAGCCACAACAUGUUUUAUGUCCUAAUAUCAGAAUGACAUACUAUUACUUCCUCCUUAUUCUAUAGAAACAAGUUAUUAAGCACAACCUACACUCGAGGAGGGAAAUUUGGCUUCACCUUUGAGGGCACCAGCAUCAAAUAGCUUGUGGACACAAUUUAAAACCAUCAGUGAGUUUUUCUAAGCUGGUCACAAUGGCCACGAUGGAGUAGAAUCUGUGCAGUUUGCUGUCAGAUUAUCAUAUCCCUUGAUCUGGACUUUUCAUCUUUUUUUUUUUUUUAAGAUUUUAUUUUUAAGUAAUCUCUACACCCAAUGUGGGGCUUGAAUUUACAAUCCCAAGAUCAAGAGUUGCAUGCUCUACUAACUAAGCCAGCCAGGUGCCCUUGUACUUUUUAUCUUUUCUUAAUGCAAGUAUGGUUCAGUGGUCAGGCACACAGGCCCUAGAGUCAGAUAAACUGGGUUCAAAGCCUGGCUCUCCCUUUCCUAGUGGAGUGCUCUUGGACAAAUAACUUCAGGUUCCCUUUCUGUAAAAUGAAGAAAAUAGCCAUUAGCAAAGUUUUUGUGAUGAUCCUGGGAAUACUUGACUCAAUUUCAAUGUCUUCAAGUGUCGAUGAAACUCAAGACAGCAUAUUUUCUUUUUUUAUUUUAAGACCCAUUAGCAGUCAUUCCCCAUCGCCCCAUUCCAAUUACCCUGCCAACCAACAAUGUAUUUUCUGUCUGUAUUCGUUUGCCUAUUCUGGACAUUUCAUAUAAGCAGAACCAUAUAAUAUGUGGUCUUUUGUGUCUGUCUUCUUUCAUUUAGGAUCAUGUUUUUAAGAUUCAGCCAUACUGUAGUAUAUAUCAGUACUUCAUUCCCUUUAACAGCUGGAUAAUAUUCCAUUGUAUAAAUGUGCUACAUUUUAUUUAUCCUUUCAUCAACUGAUGGUCAGUUGGGUCAUUUCCACUUCCUGCUUAUUAUACAUAGUGCUGCUAUGAACAUUUAUGUGUAAGUUUUUAUAUGAAUACAUCUUUGAUUUCUCGGGGGUAUAUAUCUAGGGUGGAAUUGCUAGAUCCUAUGUUUAACUUUUUGAGGAACCUCCAAACUGUUAGAAAUAGAGGAGUUCAAGGACAAAUUUAUUAAAUUUCCUUUUACUGAUUUCAGAGAUUGGUUUUUUUCCCCAGUAGAAUGAUUUUAUUUGAUUUAUCAAUGAACACGUUGUGUGGAAUUGCCAGCCUGAUUGGAACUAGGUGGAAAUCGAAUCCACAUUUCUUCAUCACUUCCAUGAAGAUUUCAUGAAAGACAGCAGACACUUUGCUUACUUACAUAAACAAACUCUAGAUCUUCCAAAUUCUCCAGGUUAUAGUUAAAACAUAUAUAGUUAUAUAUAACGUAAUCACAACCAGGUUUAAUUAAAAUGUAACUCACUGGAACAAAGUUAAGAAAUAAUAAAUGUAAUCUCUUCAUUUUAGAGAAAGAAAAGUAAGAUGAAGUGACAUGCCCAAGGUCACUAUGCAGUGUCAGAGACAGGAUUUGAAUCGAGUUCCAUUUUUCCCGGGUUAUGCUUGUUGUUCUUUUCUUCUUUUUUGAGGGGGAGAAUCUUUUUUUGUUUGAGUGUGGUUGACACACAAUGCAUGUUUGUUGUUCUUUAUAGGUCACUCAGGGCACAGGUGAAGGGAACAGUCACCUGACUGUUGACAGGGUAUAACCAUUUAGUUCGCUGGCAAAGUAAGCCAUCACUUUAGACACCUAGAUGGCAUAAGCUAGGCAUAAAAUUUCCAGCGAACCUAUUCUGGGCCUUCCUAAUUACCUCUUUUUCUUUAAAUUACAAAAAAAAAGUAUGACAUUUUUACUUUUUAAAUGCUAACAAACUAUCUUUUUAUUAAAAACAUUUUUUUUAAUGUCUAUUUUUUUUUGAGAGAGACAGAAUGCGAGCAGGGGAGGGGUAGAGACAGAGGGAGACAUAGAAUCUGAAGAGGCUCCAGGCUCUGGGCUGUCAGCACAGAGCCCAGUGUGGGGCUCGAACCCGUGAACCACAAGAUCAUGACCUGAGCCAAAGUUGGACACUUAACCGAUUGAGCCACCCAGGAACCCCUAAACUAUCUUUUUAAUAAUAUAUUAUAAAAGUUUUGUGAAUGAGAAACUUUACAAAUCUGUAUAUAGCAUAAUCUACAUUUUUGCCUUUUGUAAACACCUUUCAUACCAUCCCCAGUCACCUCUUCUUUCCUUCGUAUUUCACAGUAAUUCCCAAGAAUGAUUUUGUUACAUCUGUGUGUUGUUACAUCUGUGUUUGUGAUUUGUCUUUGUGCACACUCAGACACUUUAACUUCUGUAAAAGGACUCAAUAUCGUCUUCGAGUUUUUUUUUCUUUUAUGGCAAACUUAAGUCUUUCUUCAUGAUAUUUGUUCUACACUUUCCAAUUUGAACAUCUUUAUCCAUGGAGAAGAAACACAAUAAGCAUCACUGGGUUUUCUUCUCCAGUCCUCUGCAGCUUAUUCGUGAUCUUUUCCAAAGAGUGUCCUGUUCUUUCCCUUUUCACUUUCUGACAUAGGACAUACUCAUUAAAGACUACUUUUCACAGUGCUCCCACAUUAAAAACGAGAACAAAAUGCCUUAGAUAUUGAUACGAAAUAAGCUCUAGGAAAUAUUGUUAAGUGAAGCAAGCAUGGUACAAAUAAUAAAUGUAGGCUACUAUCUUUUGUGUAAAAUUUUAAAAAAUAUAUAGACCAUAUUUCAUUGGUUCUAAAAUGCACAGGUUUUCACAUUUUUGAUGUCUUUGAAAUUAGAAUUCAUUGUACAAUUGACACCAAGACAUAGUUUAAUUGGCAGAGCUUUAAAAAAUCUUUUGUAGUAUUAUAAUAAUAUACCAUAUUUAUAGUAUAUAUAAUAAAUAGUAUAGUAUAUACAGUAUAUAUAAACAUAAUAUUUGCAUCUUAUAUGCAAUUAAUGGCAUCCUAGGUAUGAUAAAAUAUAUUAUUUCAAUUGAUUGCAUACGCAAAAAAUUUUCCCUAGGAGGAUUUGCAAGAAAUCAGUGACACAGGUUGCUCAUAGGGAUGGGUAUUAAGUGGUUGGGGAACAGAGGUGAUAAUUUCUAUUACAUUCCUUUUCAUAUGUUUUGCAUUUUGAAUCCCAUAACUAUGUUGACAAAUAAAAUGUUAGAAUCAUAAAUUCAAAUUUAAAAAAUGCAAUUGGAGGGGUGCCUGGGUGGCUUAGUCAGCUGAGCAUCUGACUCUUAAUUUCGGCUCAGGUCAUGAUCCCAGGGUCAUGGGACUCUGCAUUGGGAACUGCACUGAGCGUGCAGCCUGCUUGAGAUUCUCUCUCUCUUUCCCUCCCUCCCUCUGCUCCUCUCCCCUGCUCACACACUCUCUCUUCCUUUCUAAAGUAAAAAAUUAAAAAAAUAAAAAAUAAAAAUAAAAAAGUCACCUGGACAUGAGUCGACACCACUGCUUCCUUCAGAUUUGUACAGUUUUGUGUUUGUUCCUAGUAAUGACAGACGAGCACUGUGAAGGAAGGGCUGUGCCUGCAUGCAUCACUCUUCAUCCAGAGUCCAGCACUGUGCCCGGCCAGCUACUAACUCCAGCAGACAUCACUCCUUUUUCCCAGGAUUUUUGUCACUUGUAAAUCAUCAACUAGAUAUUUGCUGGUUAAAAUUAAGUUCAAUAUAGCUAUUUCCCUCAUUGCUUCCUUGACAGUUCUACUGAUGAAUCUGUCCCAUAAGGCAAGGCAUAAAUAUAUCAGAUGUUCUGUUUUUGUUAGACUUUGACUUCCAGAAGAACCAGCUAGUAGCAUCUAGAUGAAUGAGGAGGGAAAUAUCUUGAAAAGAAAAAGAAAAACAUUUUAAUUGGCACCAGUACACUUGGCAACAACAGGGAUACCACGAUAGCUCAUACAUGGUGUUUGCUAAAUAAACCAGGAAGCAACUGCAGUGAAUGACUCGAAGAUGUUGGCAGUUAUGCCAUUAAAACAGCACUGCUGACUCAUUCCUGUUGAUGAUGAUAUUUAGAAAUGCAAAGAUCCACUUCCCAGACCACUCUGAAUGUCUUAUACACACAAAACGUAGUAUUAAAUCUCAAGUAGGCAAAAUCAAUCCUAGCAAUUCUGAGUGGCAAAGAAUAACUGAUAACCAGUGUUGAAGAGGUGAGAUGAUACCAGGACUAUUGUGAAAAUAACUCAAAAGAGUUUAACACAGAAGUAAAAUUUUUAGGGUCAGAACUUUUAAGCUUGACAGAGAUGGGAGCUGGUUGGUUGAGGAUAAGAGCGGGAGCCAGGUGGUUGCCAUCAAUUACUGUUGGCAUUUGUGUUCCUUGUUGUAGGCAGGCUGGUGCUGAGUGAAGCAAGCUUUAUGUCCCAGCAGCGAAAUGAACAAUUUUCAGUGGUUUGUGUUUUCGGUUACAAAUACACCACUUCCUAGAAUUAGGACAGACCUAACUUUAUAUAAAUUUAUUUUUUAAUAAGAUUGAUUGUUUAAUGUGCAACUAACAUAAAACAUUUCCACGUGAUGAAAACUUUCAGAUCUUACUCUCUUAGUAACGUUCAAAUAUACAGUAUUGUUAACUACAGUCAUUAUGUUGUACAUUACAUCCCUAGAACUUGUUUAUCUUGUAACUGGAAGUUUUUACUAUUUUAUGAAAUAGUCUACAGACAUUUUUAAGGCAUUAUUUUUUUUUUUUCAACGUUUAUUUAUUUUUGGGACAGAGAGAGACAGAGCAUGAACGGGGGAAGGGCAGAGAGAGGGAGACACAGAAUCAGAAACAGGCUCCAGGCUCCGAGCCAUCAGCCCAGAGCCCGACGCGGGGCUCGAACUCACAGACCGCGAGAUCGUGACCUGGCUGAAGUCGGACACUUAACCGACUGCGCCACCCAGGCGCCCCAUUAAGGCAUUAUUUUUAAUAUAUUUUUAAAAUAUGUACUCUUACUUAUCCAGACUCUGUCUCUCUGGACUCCAGUUCAUUCAGUUUAUUUACCGGGAGAUUAUUUAAAAUAUUUACAACACUAAAAAAUUAUUUUGGGGUAAUUUGUUUUGUAGUGAUAGGUAACUAAUACAUAAAGGUCUAGUUGAAGUAGGCAUAUAACUAUAUAUUUUUUUAGUUCUUGAGGUUUGUGGUACAUAUAUUUAAUUGUGUUCUGUAUUUGGAGUGAAUUAAACUUUCUAAGAUUCAGUUCCAUCAUCUUAAAAUAGGGAUAAAUAUAUCACCUAUUUGUUUUAAAGUUACUUUUAAAACAAAGAAAGUAUAUACUUAGCAGAGUAUCUUACAAAUAUCAAGCAAUCUGUAAGUGUAAGCUAUUUUCAAUUAAUAAACUACACCAUGGUAGUUAGUGUGGCUAGUAGGAACUGAAUAUCUGGUCUUCCUUUUGGAAGGGCAUGUUUAAGGUUAAGCCUCGUAAAACACUAUAUUUAGAAAUAUACGGCCACAGCUCAGUCCUCUAACUUCCUUUUUUAUUUUAAGAUUAUUUGUUUGUUUGUUUGUUUAGAGAGCAUGUGCAGGGGAGGGGCAGAGAGAGAGAGAAUCCAAGCAGGCUCUGUGCUGUCAAUACGGAGCCUGACUCAGGGCUCUGAUCCCAUGAACCAUGAGCUCAGGACCUGAGCCAAAAUCAAGAAUCAAAUGCUCAACUGACUGAGCCACCCAGGCACCCCAUCUAACUUUCUUAAAUCAAGUGCCCAGUAAGAAUUAGACCAAUCUUUUUGUAAUGCAUAGAUACCCCAUCUGGUCACCUGGUGUUCUCAUACACGUGUAGACACCAGCUUAAACUCAUUAAAUUGGGAUCCUGGGGGCUAGUGGGUGGAAAUCAGCAUUUAAAAAGAGCUCUGCUGGUGAUUCUCAUGUAUAUUGAAGUUUGGGAAACACUAGUUAAUAAUUUCUAGAAACAGGUUUGAAAAUUUUGGGAAUUAUAGACCUGCGUCUUUUAACUGACAAAAGCUUGUGGCAGAAAGCUAUAGAUGGCCCUUAUAUAUGCAAUACCUAUUUCUCCUUUUUUUUCCUUAAGCUUUUAUUUUUAAGUCAUCUCUACACCCAACGUGGAGCUUGAACUCACAACCCAAGAUCAAGACUCUUGUGCUCCACUGGCUGAGCCAGAUAGGCACCCCUUUGGUACCUACUUCUGCUAAACUCUAUAAGUUGCAGGAUCCAGCAGGAGUUUCUUGGUAAACUAUUUGGAUUUUCUUAUAUUCAGAUCAUGGUCCAGUCUAACCAAAAUAUCCAGUAAUGCUGUAUGAACAUUAUGGUUUAGCUAACUUUCCACAUUAUUUGCUAAAGCUUGUGGGUACCACCUUCUCAAUUUUAAAGCAUUCUUUUAGGGUGAUCAUCUUUCAGUGUGAAAUUAGGUCAUUUUUUCCUCCAAACAAUGUUUUCUGUAUGUGGUAAUGUUGGUUGCAGGAAAAUUCAUGUAUGUAAAAAUGUUGGUGGUUUUGAUAACAUCUAUUGGCUAGCUUCUUGAAGAACAUUUGGCUGUGGCAGAGUUUUCUUUGUGGUUAGAGAAGAAAUCAGUUUUCUGUGUGCUAUUAUGCUGGCAACUGCCUGUGCUAACUUAUGACUCUUAAAGCUAAGUGUCAUAUUUGAUAAAGGACUAGUAUGCACAAUAUAUAAAGAACUCUCAUGAUACACAAAUCAAAAAACCCAAUGAAAAACUGUGAAAAUAUUUUAACAAACACUUCACCAAAGAAGAUAUAUGGGUGGCAAAUAAACACAUUACUAAUAAACACCAUUAGUCAUUAAGAAAAUGCAAAUUAAAGCUCUAAUGAGAUACUCCUACACACCUAUUAAAGGGUAGAAAAAAAAGAAAUAAAGAAAAAACAAACUAACUAUAUAAUAUCAAGUCCUGGCAAGGGUGUGGAGAUCUCAUGCAUUGCUGGUGGGAAUGCAAAAUGGUACAGCCACUUUAGAAAAUAAUUUAGUAGUCUCAUAAAACUAAAUAUUUACCACAUGACCCAACAAUCCUGUUCAUAGGUUAUUUACCUACCCAAGAAAAUGAAAAUAUAUGUUCACACAAAACACCUGUACAUGAAUGUUCAUAGCAGCAUUAAAAAUAGCCAAAAAGUGGAAAAAACUAGGUGUUCAUCAACUAUUGAAUGGAUAAACAAACUGGUACAUUCACAACGGACUGCUAACCGGCAAUAAAAAACCCUAUUGAUAUAUGAAACAACAUGGAUUAAUCUCAAAUACAAUAUCCUAAGUGAAAGAAACCAGACUCAAAUGGCUACUUACUGCAUGAUUCCAUUUAUAUGACAAUCUGGAAAUGGUAAAAUUACUGAGACAGAAAACAGAUGAAUGGUUGCAGGGGCUGAUCGGGAGGAGGCUGACUACAAAGGGGCAUUUUUUUUAGGUCAUGGAAAUGUUUUAUUUCUUGAUUGUGGUGGUGGUUACAUGACCGUAUGUGUUUGUCAGAAUACAAUAGUUAGGUUUUACUCUAUGUAAAUUAUACUAAAAAACAUGAUUAAAAAAAAAGGCAGGUGCACAAAUGUGGACAUAGACUGAUCUGACACACAGUGCUUUUUUGAAUUUGAAUUCAAGUUAGUGUGUGAGGCUUCCAGUAUUAAAACUCUGACAACAGGCGUUCUGAAUAAGUAUUUCUAGCAGGCAUUUUGCGGGAUAGUUCCAGCUUAUUAAGCUGUAAGAUGGACCAACGGUGUUAGAAGCAAAACCUAGGUCUGAUGUAGAGUCUCCAGACAUGGCUCCCUAUGGUGAGGAACAAAAUAAAUCUGGCCCCAAGAUGCCGCCUUUCAUCCCUUCCCUGCAACCCAACCAGCCAUGCCAUCAUCAGGAUCCUAAUGACUCUUGUGGGGUUUCUCUGCUUAGAUCUCAGGUUAUUUAAUGGAUAUUUUAGGCCUUUGAGGGGGUCCCUGGACACUACUUGAAGAUGAAAAGCUCAUCAGGAGAAAAUUGUACAAUAUGUUUGCUCAUGAAUGCAACUGAUUGAGCCAGUGAAUUUGCCAGUCAGGUGAUGAGCAGAACAGUGGACCUUGCAAUAGAUAUAGUAUUUCAUCUAUUAUUCAGGUAUUUUUUUGUCUUAAUUUUGCUUUUAAUUGCAUUCAUUACAAAAUACCUUGAGGGGUUUUAAAAAAAAAAAAAGUAAGUGGGACAAAACACUGGAAAUCUCAGUUUUCAGCUAAAACAGAAAUUAUAUUUUAGUUCAACAUGUACGUCCUAUGAUUUUACUUCAUGUAAGAUAAAUGUAUUUAAUUCCUUUGAAUCACGCCUGAAUAUCCAUUUCCUACAAAAAUCUACAAUUAAUUUUCUCAGGCUUAACUGAUGGCUCUUCAAGAUCCAUUCAAUAUUUUAUCAAAACUCAGGAUUUUAAUCCAUUGAAUCUAUUUUCUUUUACACAAAAAAACUGACAUACUUAUCUGUGCUAGAACAAUGUCCUCAGACUAGACUAGCCCUUUGGAAUUAUGCUGCUGUUCCCAGACUGAAAAAGUAAUAGGAAAGGCCAAGUUUGGGAACCCAUUCACCAGCCUGGUCUAGCUCUCUUAACAAGAAACCCCUUUUCCCCUUUCACGAAGAUGGCGCCGAAGGCGAAGAAGGAAGCCCCUGCCCCUCCCAAAGCCGAAGCCAAAGCAAAGGCUUUGAAGGCCAAGAAAGCAGUGCUGAAAGGCAUCCACAGUCAUAAAAAAAAGAAAAUCCGCACAUCACCUACAUUCCGACCAUCCAAGACACUGCGUCUCCGAAGACAGCCCGAAUAGCCUUGAGAGGGUGCCCCCAGGAAAAACAAGCUUGACCAUUAUGCCAUCAUCAAGUUCCCCGUGACUACCGACUCAGCCACGAAGAAAAUAGACAACAACACUCUUGUGUUCAUUGCAGAUGUCAAGGCCAACAAGCACCAGAUCAAACAGGCUGUGAAGAAGCUCUACGACAUUGACAUGGCCAGGGUCAACAUUCUGAUCAGGCCCGAUGGAGAAAAGAAAGCAUAUGUUUGACUGGCUCCUGACUAUGAUGCUUUGGAUGUUGCCAACAAAAUUGGGAUCAUCUAAACUGAGUCUAGCUGGCUAAAUCUAAAUUUUUUCAUCAUAAAAAAAAAAAAAAAGAAAAA
RNAcentral lists this long non-coding RNA (9539 nucleotides) under Lynx pardinus (Iberian lynx). Lineage: Eukaryota; Metazoa; Chordata; Mammalia; Carnivora; Felidae. The record is from RNAcentral.